This 511-nucleotide ribosomal RNA is filed under the name uncultured bacterium. RNAcentral's name for it is "bacterial SSU rRNA". It matches the Rfam family "Bacterial small subunit ribosomal RNA", at positions 1000 to 1508 of the family's 1533-position model. The record is from RNAcentral.
CUAGAGAUAGAGUCUUCCCCUUCGGGGGACAAAGUGACAGGUGGUGCAUGGUUGCCGUCAGCUCGUGUCGUGAGAUGUUGGGUUAAGUCCCGCAACGAGCGCAACCCUUAAGCUUAGUUGCCAGCAUUAAGUUGGGCACUCUAAGUUGACUGCCGGUGACAAACCGGAGGGAGGUGGGGAUGACGUCAAAUCAUCAUGCCCCUUAUGAUUUGGGCUACACACGUGCUACAAUGGACAAUACAAAGGGCAGCUAAACCGCGAGGUCAUGCAAAUCCCAUAAAGUUGUUCUCAGUUCGGAUUGUAGUCUGCAACUCGACUACAUGAAGCUGGAAUCGCUAGUAAUCGUAGAUCAGCAUGCUACGGUGAAUGCGUUCCCGGGUCUUGUACACACCGCCCGUCACACCACGAGAGUCUGUAACACCCGAAGCCGGUGGAGUAACCAUUUAUGGAGCUAGCCGUCGAAGGUGGGACAAAUGAUUGGGGUGAAGUCGUAACAAGGUAGCCGUAUCGG